UGGAUUAUAGAAUUUUGCUAGGUUGUUAGUAUGACUUAUUAUAAAAAAUAAUAAAUAAUUUAUUAUUUUUAAAAUUUCAUUAAAGAUUAUAAAAGAUUCAUUAUUUUUAAUUAUUCUGCCGAGUUGGACAAAAUAGAAUUAUUUGACCAAAUAAAAUUUCAUAAGGUUACAUGACAAAUUAUAAAAGUUUAAAGGGUUAAACUGAAAAAAAAUAGAAAAAAAAAGGUAAGACUUCGUUUGGGAUUACAGAGAGAUUAUGUUAUACGGGUGAGAAACGAUGAUAAAAAAAUAUUUUAUUUAUUUUUGUAUAUAAUAUUGUGUUUCGCAUAAUCGGUUUGAUAUAUUUUUUUACGGUGUCAUCGGAGACUUAGAAGCAUAUCUCUGUACGCUUUUUCUCAAUUCGAUUCUAUCUAGCACUGUUAGAUCAACGUAA
RNAcentral lists this long non-coding RNA (433 nucleotides) under Ananas comosus (pineapple). RNAcentral's name for it is "long non-coding RNA (ACOM_LNC015430)". Lineage: Eukaryota; Viridiplantae; Streptophyta; Magnoliopsida; Poales; Bromeliaceae. The record is from RNAcentral.